GUCCCGGAAGGGGCGGAGCUGACAGCAGUAAGGGGCCGGAAGCCGGAAGUGCGGGGUUUGGCGACAGAGGACCAGAAGGGGCGGAGGGGUGAGGGUUGAGGCUGCAAAGAGCGGGGCCUGACAAAGCGCGAGGUAGUGUCAGAAAGGGCCGGUCUGAAGGAAAGCAGGUGUCCUCGGACGCAGAAUAAUUGCCCGUCGGAUAGAAGACGGAGGGACUGAAACGAAUAGGAACAGGUUGGGCCAAGAGAAGGCGGAAUUCAGAGAGAAGCGAGUGCGGAGGCGUGUCCUUGGGGAAGAGGAGGAGGAAAGUGGACAGGCGGGAGAGGUCGCUGCUGUGGAAGACUUUCCCCGAGAAGCUCAGGCCAGAGAACUCCAGGGUCACCCAGGGUCGUUCUUUCCAGGCUGCCAGUGCCCAGUAGAUGGUAGAAACAAAUUUGGGGGCGCAGCUAACGUGAUCUUCUACCAUCAGAAAGUAUUCAGAGAGGCUGACGGCGAAGUUCAUGAGGAGGGCGUAGUCGACUUUCUGCCUGGAAUAAACAGCUUCACAGGGUGAGGAGUCAUUGAUGUUGCCCCGCUCUCCUGGGACAAGAGAGCCACUGAAAUGACCGUGGAGCACAAGCAGCUUCUGGGCCUCAAGAUGAGGUUGGAAGAGGCCUGAUAUGUUGGCGACCAUUUGGCUGAGCCAUGCAGGGUCAGGAUCUGACAGGUGGACCAGCACCACGAUACAGUCCAGCUCAGACUCUGAGGAGGCUUGGAACAGAGACUGCAGGGUGUGCAAGAGGGUGCUCCCAUGAGGACGCUGCACUGAGGAGAUCCCCACCGUCAGUAGUUCUGCGGGGGGAGGCACAGGGCACCAUUAGCACUCGAGGUGGUGACAAGACCCUCCGCCCCUCUCUCCUCAAUGCCAACCCCUGGGGACAAAGUCACAUUUCCUUUCCCUUGGAGAGUGUGGUUAGGUGAGAGAUUGAUCUUUGGUCAGAUUGUGAAGUGGGUUUAUUUGAUCUCUACUUUGCAAGGUCGUUGGAGGUCAAGGCUCUCUGAUGGGGAGGCUGCCCUGUACCAAAGGGAAAUCUGCUGGCGUGGCAUAUGAGCCGGGACCUCAGACCUGGAUGGCAGGGUCUGCAGGGACAGAGGAACCAGAGGGCUCUCGUAGUACAGUGCCCAGGGGGCUGGCACCCAUCACAUUCAUCUCCCUCUGGGUCCUCCCCCUCCCUCUUCCCUCAGUCUGACCUCUCUCCCGCGCACUCACUCUUCUCCUGGGGAAGGGCUCCGGCCAGGACUUUGUAGCUGGUGAGCUGGAGCACAGGGGAGCGUCUCUGCAUCUCCUUGAAGGUCUCCAAGUGGCUCUUGUGUUCAGAGCUGAUUUGCUCCUGGUCCAGCUGCUGCAGCAUUUUCUUCUUUUCCUCCUGCUGAGGAUGGGUAAGCAUCAGCCCUGAGCUUCACCCCAGCUCCUCUGGAGACACAUGAGGGCAAAUCUUCCUUCUAGGACAGACCAAGUAAGCCCCAGGAUCCAGUCACCAGGGAGCUUGAGUAUCGGGGCUCAGUGAAGCACUGUCCCCACCUCAUCAUGAGAAAACCCAUGGUGCUGGAAGGGGUGGUGGGCCUUGGAGUCGGGGAAGUGGGGCUCUCCAGUUCUGUGUGGAAUGCCUGUGGGAAGGUCCCAGGCUUCUGCAGGGUUAGAACCUGCCUGCCCCACCUUGCCCAGGUCUAAUUUCUCCACCAUUACCGGCUGGCAGAGCCCCUGACUCUGCUUGGCCUGUGCUGGCUGCUGGGACAGCUGCUGAAGACCGGGCUGUCUUGUCCUGAAGGAAGGACACCUGGUGCCUCAAUUCUAAAGGCCUUUCUUCGCUCAGUUCUGGCCGCACACUUCUCCACAGCCACCUCCCCCUCUGCUCUAGCCGGUCGGAGGCACGUGGGGAGAAGGUGGACCCCAGAACCUGAGCAUGACCUCCACUGCAGACGCUGUGCAUGUGGGAGGAGUCAUCUUAGGGCUUGAGUCUGUCCCUGAAGGGAGGGUGGGAGGAGCACCGUCUCCUGAGGUGAGGAGAGGGCAGCAGGGCCGCCUAGAAGGUCUGGGCAAGGCUCUCCACACGUAGAAUGCCCUCUUCCUCCCUCACCCUGUGCAAAUCCUGGCCAUAUUCAAGGCGGGGUUAAUACCUUUUUUUGACACGUUCCUGAACCUUCAAGUGCCCUCUUCUUAGAACUUCUAUGGUGAUGCUUGCAUGUUUGCAUAACUGGACAUAUUUCCUCCCUGCCGAAGUGUUGGCAAGUAAUCCCUCCCAAUUUCUGGAACUUACCAAAGACACGCUGUACUCAAGGCGCUUGUUCCUAUUGUCCUGGAGGAAGAAGCUCAGGGAGACGAGGGACACGGCCAGGAGGGAGGAUCUCCACAGCGUCAUGGUGCUGGGCCUGGCACUUGGCAGGAAGUGAGCAGGAGUUGGAUCCGAGUGAGAGAAGCCAGGCGUGUCCUCCUGUUUCCUGCGGCCUCCCCUCCCUGCCCCCACCCUUGCUCCUGGACACCUCUGCCAAUUUACUUCCUAAAUCUUUUCCACCCACUUUGGCCCCCCCUCUACACUCCCCCCAGUAUAGCCAUCUAAGGAGAGACAAAGGUCAUGGAGUUUGGUUCUGUUCAGCUGCUGCUGCUUCAGCUCCUGUCUGGGUCUCCAGGUGGACCUGGAGCACAUUGGUGUAGCCCCUUGGAGUAGAGGCACCACCAGCGGGGAUGUGUUGCCAGAAAUCAAGGGUUAGGUGUUAGCUCCCUAAACUCAAACUUGAGUUAAAGUCUCCACUGGGGGUUAUUUCAGACAGAUUACGAGGUUUUGAAUCAAGUCAGAAGGAUCAAGGGAAACUCUUGCGUGUCUCCCCCACCCUGGACUGGUAGGAAGGAUGGAAACCUAGAAGUGGCUGGAAAUUUCUAACCCUGUGGAAGUCUUGACCAGGUUUGCAGAGCCACAGCGAUGGGAGGCUUUGUGUCUAACAGAAAAUGUGGCUUGAUAAACCAGCAGAGAGCAGGGAUUUCUCUGAAAUCACAGAGAAAAAAACUUCAAUGCUGCAGGGUGGGAGCCCAGAGUGGCUCCUCUGAGGCAGCAGAAACUAGUCACCAUCCCAGGAGACCCUCCCUGACAACCAUUGUUCACCCUGAAUGGGGACUGCUCACAUCAAGCACCUGUUUCUGGAUACAGUGGGAAUAAGGGUUUAAAGCCAGCUUUCCAGUCUUAUCUCAACCGAGAAGCUGAAAAUUAACUGUCAGCUUGAAUCAAAUCAACAAGGGUGGAUAUUGAGUGAUCGCUUCCCUAUUAGAGGGCCCCAUACGGCUCCUGGAGGAACCAUCCAUGUUACAGGAUAUCCAGUUAUAGGGCAUGUGCUCUGACUGGGAAUCGAACUGGUGACCUCCUUAAAUGUCUGGGUGUUUCCCUUUCCCCAGCUUACAGUUACCCAAGUACAUGUCUGUAAGGCGCUGUGGUGGUGGUGGUAGGGUGUCUGGGGAAUCUUACAGGAUUUGUGUCUCAGGGACCUUCCUUCUAGGGACCUGCCCACCUCUUCCAUCAGUGCACAUGGACCUGAAAAUUGGCUGAGAUCCAGAACCAGGCAAGGGAUUGACUUAUUGGGGUGACUGUCCUCAACCUCCUGCCCCUCCAUUUUUGCCUUUUGUGGUUGUCGUCUCCCUACCUACUUUACCCACAGUGGUGAUGUUCUGUUAACCUAUUUUAGCCUCUAUUUCCACAGCUACCUGAGCAUCAUGAGGAAACCAGUCCCAAAUCCUCACCUUGCUGUCCAUUUCCCCAGGGUACUCUCAGCACCCCGUGUCAGUUCACACCUGCCAAACUGCUGACAGGAACAUGGGAUUAUACGUCCCAGAGCUUCAUUAGUGGAAGGGAGGAGGCCGGGAAAGGCUUCAGAUUGCCGUCAAGGUCUGACAAGGGUGGGAGGUGACGAAGGAGGUCUUGGCCAGGAAGCCCCGGACUGCAGUGUGGUUCUGGGAGUUUAAACAGGCUGAGGUCACCUGUCAGAGGCACCCUCCAUCUUGCCAGAAUGGGCUCUCCACCAGGGGGGACCGUUCUGUGGAGAGCGUGGCCUUGCCACCAACACUGCGGUGGAUCCUGUGGCGGCCUGAUGCUCAGAGCUGCUCCCUCCUGCCCUUAUUUGUCCCCCAUCCUCUCCUUGUUUUAGUCCCACAUCCUGUUUCCAGGCUCUCCGGCUCCUGCAUCUACUUGGGUUACAGCUCAUUGGGACACACUGGCUGGCUUUUGAUUUGGGUUCUUCCCAAAUAUCCCUCUUAGAGUUCUCCUUUCCUUUCCUCCUCUCCCUGCUUUCACGGAUUAUAGUCAAGCUAGUGAGAACCAGACACUGCACAUUAGCUGAACUCAGGGCUCAGAUUUUUCUGGAAAUAAAGAUCUCAUAGCUGCCGAAACCGGUUUGGCUCAGUGGAUAGAGCAUUGGCCUGCGGACUGAAAGGUCCCGGGUUCGAUUCCGGUCAAGGGCAUGUACCUGGGUUGCGGGCACAUCCCCAGUAGGAGAUGUGCAGGAGGCAGCUGAUCGAUGUUUCUCUCUCAUCGAUGUUUCUAACUCUCUAUCUCUCUCCCUUCCUCUCUGUAAAAAAUCAAUAAAAUAUAUUUAAAAAAAAAAAAGAUCUCAUAGCCAAACUGAACUAAAAAAAAUUAGUAACAUAUCCAAAGGUUUUCCUAUCAGAAACCUAUGUUACCUUAUAGUCCCGGAGAUAAGACUGCUGGACAGGAGCUAUCACAGAUCAGAACAAGUGAUUUUCAGCAAUUUGGAGGCUGUCGGAAAAGGAAUACCUGACAUGCAGGGUGACCAUGGAGAAGAGGACUCUGCCUGACCAUAAAGGGUAGUAGUGUGCAUCGAAUGACCACCUUUAAUGGGAAAUGAGACCACAGAACACACAGUCGUGUUUCUUUCCUGCCACACAGGAAGUUCCGCCUUUAAUGAGUCCAUUUCUGCUGGUGGAGAGACCCCUGUCCCGUCGUGAUAUGAGCAUCAUUCAGUCCUACCCACGUGCUCCUACUGUUCCUUCGAAUCUGGUGUUUCUGCUCCAAGGGAAGAAUUCCGAAUGGUAGACCUGGUGAGUAAACCAGGAAGGCUUUUAACAAGCCCACCUCGUCCACCAGUGGUUCUGGGACCAAGAGUCCGUGACCUUCACUCUGCCUUUCAACACGCAUCUCUUCUGAACGAACAACCCUGAAAGGACCCAAGUUCAACAUUUUAACCUUUUGUUUGUUUAACCGCUGUAGACUCUAACCUCCAAUCUGACCACUCCCACAACUCCUGGUGGCUUCUCCAUUUAUCACUUAAACCUCACUUGGUCCAGAGGUGGAUGUGCCUGACCACUAUUCCAGAGGGAGCAGCGGCUGUCACAAGCAGUCUCACACAUUUCACCUUCUUCCCAGACGUGGGAGACAACACCUGCUUGUUCAGGACGCCACUUACCAGCAGCCCCAGCAGAGUGUAGUCGUCACAGUCACUGACCCUGUUUGUAGAGUCACAGCCCAGUUCUACUUGUCCCUCUUCCAGCUGAUUCCAGCCUCUCGGGUCAGAGCCAGUCAGCACCUGAACUCGGGACACAUGGGCAGGUACAUCCAAAACCACAGUCAGAUGGCUGCCAGGCUCAGCCGACUUGGUGUAAAAGAAAUUUUCAUCCAGGCUGUAGGCGUGCGAGGGAGCAGAGUCGUUGGCAACCUUCAGGCUGGUGUGGAUGGAGGCAGCAGGAUUGCUGGGAGAGCCAGUGUCAUCCUCCUCAAAGGAGGAGGAGUUGCCCACUUGCUGGAAGAGGGAGGGCAGGAACCUGAUUGGUGUGUGCUGCAGCAGGGCCUGAAAGUGGGAGAGGAGGCAGUCCCAGGGCAUUUCUCGGUAGAAGAGGAGAACGAAGUGAAUGAAGCGGGGCAGGUCUCCAGUACGGAAGAGUUUCCCGGUGAGGCCCAGCGGGGAGAACUCCAGGGUCACCCAGGGUCUGUUUGCCCAGGCCGACACUGCAGUAGCUAUCUGGGUGACAAAUCCGGGGGCACAUUUCACAUCAUCCUCGACCAUCAGGAAAUAGUCAGAAUGCUGGGUGGCAAAGUUCAUGAGGAAGGCAUAGUCCAUGUUUUGCCUGGAGUGGAAGGCUGCGUGGACAGGAGGGUCAUUAAAGGUCACUUUAAGAUCCUUCAAAGGAAGAUAGCUUGUGAGAGGAGUAGUGAUCACCACCAGCUCUCUGGCCUGUAUGUGUGGUUUAAACAUGGCUGAGAGGUUGUAGAUCAUCUGAACAAGCCAUUUGGGGUCAGGACCUGCUAGGUGUACCAGAACGGUGAAGUGUUUCCGCUCGGAUGAGGAGGAAGCAAAGAAGAGAGACUGCAGGGUGUCCACGAGGUGGCUCCCUUCAGGACGCUGCCCGGAGGAAAUCCCUACGGUCAGCAGUUCUAGGGGUGGGGAGAAGAGAGGACCUUUGUCAGCUUACAGAAGUGAGAAACAUAGUUGCUAUGGGUGAGGUUAUAAUACUCGCAGGUCUUUCCAUACACCAACUUAAUGUCCUUCUGUGGUUAUUGUACAUUUUCUCCCCCAAGCCUAAGCAUGGACAAUGUUCGGAGUUAAUAAUCUGGUCACAAGUUGUGAGUUAAAAAAAAAAUCAUUACCUUUGAGGAACUAUUGUUGGAGAAAUAAAAGAUGAUAAACUAAAAACAUUUGCAUUUAUGUCUCCUCAACCAGAGUCCCACUGAAAAACCAGAAAGCUUGCCAUUAGAGAACCGUAAUAUUUGCAGAAUUCCUAGAAGACAGAGAAUAUGGAACGGGGUGGUGAAAAAGUCUAAGUAGAAGAAUUCAUAGUUCAGAAGACACACAGAGAAAACAAAUGCAGAGAUUUAGUUUCAUACUGAAAGCCUCAGUGGAAUUCUAAGUUCGAGCCACCAAACGACAGGUAUGAGCCCUGGGAUGGUCACCUGGAUUAUCAGUCACAGGACUGUUUCCAGAACCACUGGACCACUGACCACUAAGGGGCUGGCUGUGGCAACAUCCAUCGCAGGCGAAAGUGCUACGAUUUUCUAAGUAAAGUGGAAGGUCUGCCCGGGGAGAGCCUAUGGGUGAAUCCUGGGCUGGCGGGAGCCCCAGGACUUGAGCAAGAACUCCAGGCAGCAGCAGGAGGAGAGGGCAGAGCUGACGUGGCUUUUACCUCGAGGAUAAAGCCCUGGGUGUGGCUCCCUGAAGGUGACAUUGAGACGUGGAGAGGCAUCUGUAUAAACUCAUGAAUUUCAUGUUUCAAACCAUGGAAAUUUGAUCCUAUUGAGGCUCAAGUUGUCCUAUCUUUGGCGAACAGCCUUUUGAAGUUGGAUCCUGAGUCUUUUUGAUACAACUUUAGUCAUUUUUUAAGGCUUCCUUGCUAUCUGAGAGGACAUUUCCUGCCUUGGACCUGGAAUCAGCCUGGUUAUUUUUAGUGGAAAACAGUAUUUAUGUAACAAACAACUCAUUUAUAGGCCACUGGAUAGAGCCAAAAUAUAUAUUUCUAAAAAGAUAAAAUACCAUCAUGCAUUCAUACUACUUCAUAGUGCAUUUAAUUAAAAAAGUACAGCAUCAUAGCCAGUGAGGUUUAUAGAAAGUGGGAUUAUUGGUAAC
Long non-coding RNA from Myotis daubentonii (Daubenton's bat), 7596 nucleotides. RefSeq lists it as uncharacterized. The record is from RefSeq and is a predicted model, not a curated record. NCBI's taxonomy places the organism in Eukaryota, Metazoa, Chordata, Mammalia, Chiroptera, Vespertilionidae.